This is a ribosomal RNA of 950 nucleotides. The stretch from base 642 to 795 matches the Rfam family "5.8S ribosomal RNA".
GGUGACACUUAUUGAAGCCUUUGUGGCCCCGCAAGGGGUCUGCACCGCGACUCUAAACAAUGGAUGCAGUGCCUGGAGCGUCGUCUCCAGGUAUGCAAGUCAGCGCUCUUGCUGGCGACACCUUCGAAUUGCGGGGAUACCCUAAAGCCCACAUCUACUAACCUGGCGGGGAAACCUGGCUAGGGGCUCAUGUUAACAGCAUGGGGUACAGUAAAAAGGAUGUGGGAUCAGCCUCUAGGCUGAGUGGGCAAUCCGCAGCCAAGUCCCUAAAGCGGUCGUCUCUGGCGAGCAAAGGGAAAGGUUCACAGACUAAGUGGAGGUGGGCAGAGUUUCUGCUUAAGAUAUAGUCGGGCCCCCAGGGAAACCUGGGGGGUAAGUUACCACGUGUGGGGGAAGACUGACGGCUCGAAUUUUCUUUGAGGCUGUCAGCACCGCACAACCGUUCCGUAGGUGAACCUGCGGAAGGAUCAUUACCGAGUGUUGGGCCCUCGGGCCCCUUACUCCCACCCCAUGUGUACCUACCACUCUUCAGUUGCCUUGGUGGGUCCCUCCCUCGUACCGAGGAAGGGGUUCAGCCCGCCAGGGGGACUUUAUAAAACUCUUGAACUUGGGAUGUCUGAGAAAGCAAUCAAAUAAAUAAAAACUUUCAACAACGGAUCUCUUGGUUCUGGCAUCGAUGAAGAACGCAGCGAAAUGCGAUAAGUAAUGUGAAUUGCAGAAUUCAGUGAAUCAUCGAAUCUUUGAACGCACAUUGCGCCCUCUGGUAUUCCGGGGGGCAUGCCUGUUCGAGCGUCAUUUCAAACCCUCAAGCUCCGGCUUGGUAUUGGGCGCCGUCCGCCUGAGGACGUGCCUGAAACUCGUAGGCGGUCGCGCGCAGCUCCUCAGCGUAGUCAAAUUCUCGCUCCGGACGCCCUGUGUGCGGCCCUGCCUGGGAACCACUCAUCUCAAGG